Molecule: ribosomal RNA, 1089 nt
Filed under: Triticum aestivum (bread wheat)
Lineage: Eukaryota; Viridiplantae; Streptophyta; Magnoliopsida; Poales; Poaceae
Description: partial small subunit ribosomal RNA
Source: RNAcentral
AUGGCUUUGCCGGCCUCGAUCUCCCACCUGGCUCACUUGGGACAGAAGCUAUGGCUGCAGGACACAGGGAAAAGCUUCUUGUGCGACGGCUGCCGUGAGCCCGGCGGGGGCGAGAGGUACAGGUGCCAUCCAUGCGACUUCGACCUCCACAAGCAUUGCGCCUUGGACAAGAGCAUGGCUUUGCCAGCCUCGAUCUCUCACCCCGCCCACUUGGGACACAGGCUGUCGCUGGAGGCGACCGAGUACUGGGAGUUCGUGUGCAACGGCUGCCGUGAGAGUGGUGCGGGGGAGAGGUACAGGUGCCGGGUCUGCAGGUUCGACCUCCACACGCAGUGCGCCUUGGAAGAAGGAACCAAGAUCAUGGCUUUCCCACGCUCCAUCUCGCACCCAGACCAUUGGGGGCACAAGCUGUCGCUGGAGGCGACUGACUACUGGAAGUUCGUGUGCAACGGCUGCCGUAAGAGCGGGUUGGGCGAGAGGUACAGGUGCCGGGCCUGCAAAUUUGACCUCCACAAGCAGUGCGCCUGGGGCCAAGGGACCAACAUCAUGGCCUCCUCAGGCUUGAUCUCCCACUCGGCCCACUGGGAACACAUGCUGACGCUGUGCGCCCCUGGCCUCUCCAACUUCGUGUGCAACGGCUGCCGUGAGCCCGGCACGGAGGAAAGGUACAGGUGCCAUGCAUGCGACUUUGACCUCCACAAGCAAUGCGCCUUGGACCAAGGAACCAAGCUUGUGCACCCGCUGCUUAAGAACGUCGAGUUGGAGCUCCGGUUCCAGGGCCCCAAGGACGGCGCCAGGCUGGUGUGCGACGCCUGUGGCAACGCCGUGCUGGGAUUCCACUACCACAGCAGCAAGCUGUGCCUCCGGCUCCAUCCAUGCUGCGCAAAUCCACUGUAUGACAAGAAGAAGGAGGAUGAUGGUCGCGGGAGAGAUCAGCCGUCCAGGAGUAAAUUCCAGCGCACAUUGUCUGUCAGCGGGCAUAUCAGUGACGCGAUAGAUACUGGAGAAGCGAUAGCUGAUCUCUUCAACUCAAUUAAUCUAGACGAUGGCGGUUCCGUAGAGGAACCCGACUUCGACUUUGACUUUUAA